UGGGGAAUUUUGGACAAUGGGCGAAAGCCUGAUCCAGCAAUGCCGCGUGUGUGAAGAAGGCCUUCGGGUUGUAAAGCACUUUUGUCCGGAAAGAAAUCCUUGGCUCUAAUACAGUCGGGGGAUGACGGUACCGGAAGAAUAAGCACCGGCUAACUACGUGCCAGCAGCCGCGGUAAUACGUAGGGUGCAAGCGUUAAUCGGAAUUACUGGGCGUAAAGCGUGCGCAGGCGGUUUGCUAAGGCCGACGUGAAAUCCCCGGGCUCAACCUGGGAACUGCAUUGGUGACUGGCAGGCUAGAGUAUGGCAGAGGGGGGUAGAAUUCCACGUGUAGCAGUGAAAUGCGUAGAGAUGUGGAGGAAUACCGAUGGCGAAGGCAGCCCCCUGGGCCAAUACUGACGCUCAUGCACGAAAGCGUGGGGAGCAAACAGGAUUAGAUACCCUGGUAGUCCACGCCCUAAACGAUGUCAACUAGUUGUUGGGGAUUCAUUUCCUUAGUAACGUAGCUAACGCGUGAAGUUGACCGCCUGGGGAGUACGGUCGCAAGAUUAAAACUUAAAUGAAUUGACGGGGUCAUAGCUGUUUCCU
RNAcentral lists this ribosomal RNA (585 nucleotides) under uncultured bacterium. Its description in RNAcentral is "partial 16S ribosomal RNA". It matches the Rfam family "Bacterial small subunit ribosomal RNA", at positions 355 to 1375 of the family's 1533-position model. The record is from RNAcentral.